This 1153-nucleotide long non-coding RNA is filed under the name Olea europaea subsp. europaea. Lineage: Eukaryota; Viridiplantae; Streptophyta; Magnoliopsida; Lamiales; Oleaceae. The record is from RNAcentral.
AUUCUAGCUUUGCGUUUGGAAGGGGGAAAAAAACACGCACACAGAGACACACAGAGAAGAAAGAUAAAGAUUUCAUCUAAAAUGCAGAGGAGAUUGGCACUGCGAAGAAAGCUUCACAUUUUGAAAACUCUUACGAAUUCCAAAUCAGUAAUACUCAGUCUUAUGAGUUUAUAACACUUAUUAUUUUAACUUUAUUUGUAAAUUUUAAUAUUCUAUUUUCUAUAUUGUCUUGUUUGUGAAGGUGAAGAAGAGUUACAUUAUCAUGGAUGCCUUUCUCUACAUCUACAAGUUGAAGCUCCAAGUAGAAGCCAUCCAAAGAGAAUACCAAUACCUCAUAAAUCAUAUCCAAGUCUCUCUCUCUCUCUCUCUCUCUCUCCAUAGAGAGUUGGGAUUUCAAGAUCAAUCUUGUUAAUAGGAGCAGUUUAAGUUAUUUUGGAUAUGUUGAUUAUUGAUUUCGCCUUUGAUCAAAUUGAGAAUUAUACCUUGACCAACACUACACUAUUUGGGCAUGUAUGGCAAGCAAAUUAUAUAUUCCUAAAGGAAAUCUCAUUCAUUAUCAUUUCCGAGUAGUGUCUACUAAUAUAUAAUGUACCAAAUAUGUCCAAGUGACUGUUUGGUUUAUUGUAUUUGACAAAACACGACUCGACCUUUGUUUUAAAAAGAAAAAAAAAAAAAAUUGUUAAAAGCUCGUUCCAGUAAACAUGAUCUAAUUAAAUGUUAAGCAAGGGUACAUAUACGUCGGUGUUUUUAAUUCAAUUUUUUCAAGAUUUUGAUAUAUGUUAUGUGCAUGGAUUGAACAGGAAGUGAAGGUAGAGAAGGACGGAACAAGAUAUGUAGUGAGGGUGACAUGCAAGAAGGGACAAGAUUUGUUGGUGUCAAUUAUUGAAGCCUUUGAAGAAAUGAAUCUUAAUGUCCUUGAAGCCAGGGUCACCACCAAACACUUCUUUGGAAUGGAAGCCAUUGCUGAAGCUAAAGGCCAAGACAUUGAUUCAAGAAUCUUGACUCAAACCAUUCUCAAUGUCAUUCAAAGGCCAACUGGAAAUGGAGCUACCAAUUAAUAUUAGUACACUUUAACUGUCUUGUUUUUGUGAUAUUGGAAAUGUCACUUUCUUUUUGGAGUAAUAAUGUGAUAACAUGACUCCGCCGCCCCCCC